This 501-nucleotide ribosomal RNA is filed under the name uncultured bacterium. RNAcentral describes it as "partial 16S ribosomal RNA". It matches the Rfam family "Bacterial small subunit ribosomal RNA", at positions 30 to 523 of the family's 1533-position model. The record is from RNAcentral.
AUUGAACGCUGGCGGCAGGCUUAACACAUGCAAGUCGAGCGGGGGAAGGUAGCUUGCUACCGGACCUAGCGGCGGACGGGUGAGUAAUGCUUAGGAAUCUGCCUAUUAGUGGGGGACAACAUCUCGAAAGGGAUGCUAAUACCGCAUACGUCCUACGGGAGAAAGCAGGGGAUCUUCGGACCUUGCGCUAAUAGAUGAGCCUAAGUCGGAUUAGUUAGUUGGUGGGGUAAAGGCCUACCAAGGCGACGAUCUGUAGCGGGUCUGAGAGGAUGAUCCGCCACACUGGGACUGAGACACGGCCCAGACUCCUACGGGAGGCAGCAGUGGGGAAUAUUGGACAAUGGGGGGAACCCUGAUCCAGCCAUGCCGCGUGUGUGAAGAAGGCCUUAUGGUUGUAGAGCACUUUAAGCGAGGAGGAGGCUACUUUAGUUAAUACCUAGAGAUAGUGGACGUUACUCGCAGAAUAAGCACCGGCUAACUCUGUGCCAGCAGCCGCCGUAA